CCCUUAGACGUUCUGGGCCGCACGCGCGCUACACUGACACAGGCAACGAGCUUUCCUUUACCGAAAGGUAUGGGUAAUCUUUUGAAACUGUGUCGUGCUGGGGAUAGAUCCUUGCAAUUUUUGAUCUUAAACGAGGAAUUCCUAGUAAGCGCGAGUCAUCAACUCGCGUUGAUUACGUCCCUGCCCUUUGUACACACCGCCCGUCGCUACUACCGAUUGAAUGGCUUAGUGAGGCCUCAGGAUCCGCGCUUAAUGUGUGGAGAAUUUGGACAAACUACGCCAUUUAGAGGAAGUAAAAGUCGUAACA
RNAcentral lists this ribosomal RNA (307 nucleotides) under uncultured eukaryote. RNAcentral describes it as "partial 18S ribosomal RNA". It matches the Rfam family "Eukaryotic small subunit ribosomal RNA", at positions 1470 to 1796 of the family's 1831-position model. The record is from RNAcentral.